CCUACGGGAGGCAGCAGUGAGGAAUAUUGGUCAAUGGCCGGAAGGCUGAACCAGCCAUGCCGCGUGAAGGUCAGUGCCCUAUGGGCGUUAAACUUCUUUUGUGCGGGAGCAAUAAUGGUCACGUGUGGCCAGACGAGAGUACCGUACGAAUAAGCAUCGGCUAACUCCGAGCCAGCAGCCGCGGUAAUACGGGGGAUGCAAGCGUUAGCCGGAUUUAGUGGGUUGAAAGGGUGCGUAGGCUGGGAGGUAAGUCAGCGGUGAAAUGCCCCCGCUCAACGGGGUGAAGUGCCAUUGAUACUGCCUGGCUGGAAUGCGGAUGCGGUGGGAGGAAUGUGUGGUGUAGCGGUGAAAUGCAUAGAUAUCACACAGAACACCGAUUGCGAAGGCAUCUCUCGAAUCCGCGAUUGACGCUGAUGCACGAAAGCGUGGGUAUCAAACAGGAUUAGAUACCCUAGUAGUC
Molecule: ribosomal RNA, 460 nt
Filed under: uncultured bacterium
Lineage: Bacteria
Description: partial 16S ribosomal RNA
Rfam family: Bacterial small subunit ribosomal RNA
Source: RNAcentral